UUUAUGGAGAGUUUGAUCCUGGCUCAGGAUGAACGCUGGCGGCGUGCCUAAUACAUGCAAGUCGAGCGAACGGACGAGAAGCUUGCUUCUCUGAUGUUAGCGGCGGACGGGUGAGUAACACGUGGAUAACCUACCUAUAAGACUGGGAUAACUUCGGGAAACCGGAGCUAAUACCGGAUAAUAUUUUGAACCGCAUGGUUCAAAAGUGAAAGACGGUCUUGCUG
This 224-nucleotide ribosomal RNA is filed under the name Staphylococcus aureus. RNAcentral's name for it is "partial 16S ribosomal RNA". It matches the Rfam family "Bacterial small subunit ribosomal RNA", at positions 1 to 220 of the family's 1533-position model. The record is from RNAcentral. Lineage: Bacteria; Bacillati; Bacillota; Bacilli; Caryophanales; Staphylococcaceae.